GGCCAAACGAUGGCGGUGGAAGCCCAUCAGUUCAAUCAACGAUUGUGAAAUGUCUACUGACGCUGAGCAUGCAAAGAUGCAUAGAACGUAAGCUCCAGCUUCAAGAACCUAUCAGGGAUAGUGUUGUACACCUGUUGGGAAUAAGCGUUAUUCAAUUGUGGAUGAUGACGGAUGCAUCGCUCUUGUGGUGAAGCUCAGUGUUCUUGAAAACACAGCUUUCGAGUCCUCGUGUGAACCUUGUGCAGUCCUUGUGAACUGCACAAGCAGUAGCUGGAAAUGAUCCAGCCUGCCCCAGACCACCGUCCUCAUCACAGAAAUCAUGUCAACUCUGCGAAGGAAUCGUGUUAGUGACAGAUUGGCCCAGUGUCACCACAACGGGCAAAAAGCCUUUCUUUCCCCUCAGGCAAAUGACCUCAGAUCUUGAGCAGCAACAGUAAGCUUUUUGGAGAAGGAUUAUGUUCUUUCUAACAGAAGCACUUUCUGUUGUUCUUAUGAAAAUUGGUAAAAACAUUAAGACUUUUAAAAGGAGACAUUUUUGUACCUUCUUUAAUGAACAGA
Odocoileus virginianus texanus is the source of this 558-nucleotide non-coding RNA. The record is from RefSeq and is a predicted model, not a curated record. NCBI's taxonomy places the organism in Eukaryota, Metazoa, Chordata, Mammalia, Artiodactyla, Cervidae.